CUCCCUCUUUUUUACUCUUGGAGUCUUUCACGAAACUUGCCAAAAGGAGAAAAAAGCCACAUGAAAAGUAUAAGGUUACAAACAACCACCUCUAGCCAUAAGCCCAACUACCAUCUGAGUCCAACCGCAUAGGAGGUCAGAAGAAAGAUCAGAAAACAACCAGAAAGAAACUGCAGUAAUUCCAGUGAAAGAAACCUCAUUCCUGAGCUACUGACAGAAUUCUACUACCACCUACACUUGGAAAACCAUUUGGCUAAGAUAAAAAAUAAUUUAAUAUUGGGGCAGGUUUUAAUUCCUUUGGAAUUUCAGCACACAAAGCAAUAUAAUUACAUCAAGAAAAACUCUCCCUAACCAUGGUUUGCCUCUGCUCUGUCACCACAACAAUAAUCAUCAACACACAAGAAGACUUCUGUGGCCAAAUAUGUGUGGGAUUUUCCC
This is a long non-coding RNA of Homo sapiens (human), 438 nucleotides long. RefSeq lists it as uncharacterized. The transcript is spliced from 3 exons. Lineage: Eukaryota; Metazoa; Chordata; Mammalia; Primates; Hominidae. The record is from RefSeq and is a predicted model, not a curated record.